This 497-nucleotide ribosomal RNA is filed under the name uncultured bacterium. RNAcentral describes it as "partial 16S ribosomal RNA". It matches the Rfam family "Bacterial small subunit ribosomal RNA", at positions 28 to 507 of the family's 1533-position model. The record is from RNAcentral.
GAUGAACGCUGGCGGCGUGCCUAAUACAUGCAAGUCGAGCGAACAGACGAGGAGCUUGCUCCUCUGACGUUAGCGGCGGACGGGUGAGUAACACGUGGAUAACCUACCUAUAAGACUGGGAUAACUUCGGGAAACCGGAGCUAAUACCGGAUAAUAUAUUGAACCGCAUGGUUCAAUAGUGAAAGACGGUUUUGCUGUCACUUAUAGAUGGAUCCGCGCCGCAUUAGCUAGUUGGUAAGGUAACGGCUUACCAAGGCAACGAUGCGUAGCCGACCUGAGAGGGUGAGCGGCAACAUGGAAACUGAGCCACGGCCCAGCCCCCUGCGGAGGGCGCAAGUGGGGAUUCUUCCGCAAGGGGCGAAAGCCGGAGGGAGCAACGCCGAGUGAUGGAUAAAGGUGUUCGUAUCGAAAAACUCUUUUAUUGGGGAAAAAAAAAUGUGAAAGAACAUAUGCACGUCGGGAGGGUCCCUAAUAAAAAACCCACGGCAAACUACGUG